Non-coding RNA from Heterocephalus glaber (naked mole-rat), 1430 nucleotides. Lineage: Eukaryota; Metazoa; Chordata; Mammalia; Rodentia; Bathyergidae. The record is from RefSeq and is a predicted model, not a curated record.
CAGUGUCCCACAUCUCCACGCGACCUUCAGCCCGAUAUUGCCCCAGCUAGGAUGGGCGACAAAAUCUGGCUGCCCUUUUGUUUGUUCCUCCUGGUCGCUUUACCCCUAAGGCUGCUGCCGGGGGUGGCCGGCUUCACGCCUUCCUUAGACAGCGACUUUACAUUUACCCUUCCGGCCGGACAGAAGGAGUGUUUCUACCAGUCCAUGCCGCUGAAGGCCUCGCUGGAGAUCGAGUACCAAGUUUUAGAUGGAGCAGGAUUAGAUAUUGAUUUCCAUCUUGCCUCUCCAGAAGGCAAAACUUUAGUUUUUGAACAAAGAAAAUCAGAUGGAGUUCACACAUAAGGACGCUCAGAGAUGUUAAAUAAGUCUGCAGGGAUACACAUUCAGGGCGGAGACAGGAUGAACCAAAACUCUUGCUUUCUACUAUAUGAUGCUCAGAACAUCCCUGGCACAUAGCACUACUAAAAUCUUUGAAGAUUAUACAUCAUCCAUAAGGGAGCCAUUGUCAGUCAAGAUGCAUGUUAUAGACUACCUCUUCCAAUAUAACUUCAAGAUCAAGCAAUCAAUCAGUUGAAAAUCCUCAAAGAAUAGAAUAGUUUGUGAACAAGAACACCAUGUUUUAUAACAUUAUUACUGCAUACUUAUUGUGUAUUUUCUCUGAAUUGAUGCUGUUUGUGAGAUACCAGGAAAACCCAAAGACAGAAACUAAAUUUUAAGGAAUAAAAUUGAGGGUUGAGCUUUGGAGGUCACAAACCAUUUUAAUAUCUAAGAUUUUUUUCUUUUGUCCUUUUCUGAGCAAUAUCACAUUCAUUGAGAAAGCUUAGAGUAAAUGAAUGCUAUCCUUCAGAAUAGUCAUUUUUACUGGUUAUACAGUUCUUGUAACAAUGUACACAUUAGAGUGCAAUGGAAAAUUUUCCUCAGGAAAUGUCCUACAUCUGGGUUAGAUUAUCUCCUAUUUAUGUCAUAGUUUUUUACCUUUUAAAAUUGUUCCCCACUGUAUUCAUCAGUAUUUGCACAGGCUUCUCCCAAAGGUAAAUAUGUCCCCAGAAGACAAGCUUGUCGUAAUUGGGACUGCAAAGACUAUGGGCAAGUUCUGAGCAGUAUAACAGAAAGAUUAACUUGAACUGGGCAUGGUGGUGCACACUUGUAAUCCCAGCACUCUGGAGGCUGAGGCAGGAUUGCCACAAGUUUGAGCCCAGCCUCAGCUACAUAGUGAGUUCAAGGCCAACCUGACCUACAUAGUGAGACCCUGACUUGUAAUCAAAAAAAAUCAGGAAUCAGACUUCAUCGAUGCCUGUUAACAGAUGAUGUGAUGAUCAUGUGAAAAUAUUUUAACCUGUUUGAACUUCAUUUUAUUUACCUGUAAAAGUUAAAUUAUGCCUACUUCCAAAUGUGAUAAGGAUUAAAAGAAAUAAAAGAUGUGAAGUCAG